GUCUCCAACAAUACAGCACUUCCUUUGUAUGACGUGAAGCGUCAGCCUGGAUUAUGUCUUCAAGACUUUAAACUUUGAUUUCAACCCAUUGAGCUGAGAGUGUUAUCCAUUUAUGGUUAGUUUGGAGAGAAGGAAAAAGUUGAUUCUAACAAAUUUCUGUUUCGCUUUCUAGAUGCCAGCAAAGAUGGGGCAAGACCCGCAACUAAGCGAUCUGGUGCAUCCUCUGAUGACAAGCUAAUAAGCGUGAACAAGAAGCCGAGAGGAGAUGGACCCUAAAUUCCACAUGCAUUGUGAACUUGCGCCUUUUUAUUUUAAAUAACCAAGAACUUGACUAGAUUAAGAACCUACCUUGGUAUAUCGGCACACCGCCCAGCAGAAGGAUUUUGCUUCAGAAGAACCAAGUCCUUACUUUUAUUAUUGCUCAUUUUAAGAGGACAAGAAUCUCAUUUGAAAGUACCUGCAGUGAACUGAUGGUAUUAUUUGAAGGAAGGACACCCUGUUGUAUUGAAGUGUAUUUACCUGCCAAAUGACCCAAAUCGCCAAACAUAUUUUAUUGAAAUUUCUCAUCAGAGUACUCUAUAACUGUCUAGUUCUCCCUCACCAUCCCACAGCCAUUUUCAAAGCAGCAAUAAUUUCUUCCAGCAUGUCACAUGACUGUCUGUAACUCAUUUUCCUUUGACAACCUGAAAAUCCUGAGACCAGAGUGUACAUACAGCGUUAUCAACCAUCUUGCAGUCUUUAACAGGAAUUGUCAUUUAGAACUCCAAAUGACCAUUUCUCUUUAGUAGACCUAAUGAAGGAUUGAAGAUUACUAGCUUUUUAACUUUGCAGAGGAACCGUUGUCUCUCCCUUCCCCUCUCCUUUUUCUGCCCCCCAACCAACUCCCAGACUCUUAACCCUUGAAUCCUGAACAGAAACAUUUUCUAAUACAGAUAUCUUCACUCUAUCUCAACACCCAACUUCGUGCUUCGGCUGUCUCCUGCUUACACCUCUGUGUGUGUAUGCUCUUCUGUUACACUUGUUGGAGGGAAUUGUGAAUCUCUUAGUGUUUACGGUUUGACACUGCCACAGGACAAUUUUGUCACAGGUUUACACGAAAGAAAACUGCAGUGUUUGCUGCUCUUCAGGUGCAGAAGUUCAUGUUUUAGAAUGAGUUCAAGUUUUAUAUUCAAUUGGGGUUGAGAGAAGGGGCUUUAACUCUGACCAGAGACAAAGUGAAUUCUGGUGUGGGUUUUUGGGGAAGAAACUGAAGGUUUUGUGGUUUCUAACAUGUACAGUUCUAAGAUUGUCUGAGGUUGUAUCUGUCCCUCUGCAUGUCUGUGGAGAGUGUGCAGGUUCAUAUGAGAUGAUGUUCUGAUGCUAAAUCAAGUAACUUGCACCAUCCUGGAGUGCCAGAGAAAAGCAUAGCACAUAUUUGCGUAUGUGUCAAGCCAUCCCAGAUGUUGUUCUCAGCCCUUAUUUGAAGAUGCUCUCUUGUUCAGAAUCUUGGUUCUCUGCACCUUCUCCCACAGCUUUAGCUGGAUUGUAAUGUGAACGGUUUGAGAUUGAGAUUGGUUUUGGAAGGUGGCUAGACAGGUGAAACCAACUUCUCUGCUUUAUUGUUGUGCAGCCAUGCCACAACAAAAUAAAGCACAUUGCAACUGGAUCUGUGUAAACAACUGAAGCAGUCUGUGGCAUUACUGUAUGGUUGUGUCUAACCUUUUCUUUGAUAUGUAGGGCUGUAACUUGCAUGCAUGUUCCCAUGAUCACAUCCCUAUUUUUAGAAUUAUCUUUGUGUGUGCAUCACAUACCGGUAGGUCAUGGUUGGGAAGGUUUGCAGGUUGGAUGGAUGGGUAUUCACACGACUAUGUUUGGCACAGAGUCAGGGAAGAGGACCGGUAGAUCCAGUAUUCAACUAUGAGACCUCUCCUGAGGUGAAUGAAUGUCACUGGGUGCUAGGUGGUUCCAUAAACACUCUGGGGAACUUUGGCUGGCUUUGGUGGUCACCCAACAAUAAGUGCUGGAGAGAUGUGUGCUGGAUCUGGUUGGACCACUCUGGGUUCCAGUACCAUGCUUUGAUGAGCGAGUAGCCCAUGAACAUUCGUUAUCUAGACUCGUGAAGAACAGCAACUAUUGGCAGCAAAUGUUUGAAACCAAAGCCAUGUCAGAGAAGCUUGGGGAGAAUCGAGGUGGGAGUGACUUUUUGUUUUAAAGCUUUCCUGUUCCAAUUUUCAAUAACUAAAUGUACUCAACCUCACGUUCUUGCUGUCCAUACUGCCUGCUAAGCAUGCAGCGCUGUCUUUUUUUUUUCAAAUCCUUCCACUUGUGCGUUAGCUGGGCAGAUUCUUUCCAGAUCAAUGUCUUGCACUGUUGUCCCUCAGAUUUCUUUCAUGUUUUGAUAUCAAUACAUUAAAUGUAACUCUGGCCUGCAUUGACAUGCUCUUUGUUUGUCCCCUCAAAUAGCUUCCAUCUCCACUGACCAUGUACCCACUAGGUCUGUACUGUGUGUUAGUAUGCCCUACUGUGAUACAAUUAUAGACCUGCACACACCACUACCAUAUACCAGUAUUAUAUGACGACUGAUCUGUACCCUGGCAUUGUAUUGAUCCAGAUAUUCUGUUCAGAUACCAAUGUAGAAGAGCUAUGGGUGAUUUGAAAAAGGGAAUAUUUUGUUUCAAAUGAUGAAAAUUUCAUCUACCUAUUGUUAAUCUAUACCAAAAUCCUGGGCAUCUUGCAAUUUACUCAUAAGCUACAUUUGACUUCUAAUCAAAACUGAAUUUUUAAGAUAUGUAUACGUAUAUUGAUAUGAGCCUCCAGGAUCGUUCCCUGUGAAAAUAUGAUUCAUUUGUUCUGAAAGCAAAUAUUUGCUAUUGGGCAAAACCUAAGAAAAAUCUUUUUUACCUUUUUUGUCAAGCUCCUACAGCAGAACCCAGCAUAUUGGAAACAUCCGAGUUGCUGCUAGAAUAAGAGCCAGGCCCAAUUUUAAUAUUUUUGUUUCUUACUCGAUAAUUAUAAAUUCCAUUCAACCAUCAGGAUGAGCGUGGACAAUGUUAUGGGGUUGGGGGGAUGGUGUGAAGAGUGCAGUCCUAUUCUCAGUCACGUACAGCCACUCUCAUUUCAUUCAGCAAGAUACUUUGAACAACAUCUCCAGUGCAGUGUAAUAAUUGCCAGGGUUUUAUUUGUCAGUGCAUGGAAACCUAAGAUUUUUAAAAGUACAAUAAUUGAUAACUUGCAUUUUAAAUAUAUAUAUAUAUAUAAAUAUAUAUAUAGUUUAUCAUUGUUCUGGGAGAAAGAAAAAUACUGAUGUUUUCUCUCAUUUUCUUUUAUUCCUUUACAAAACAAUUAUAUGUACAUGUGUCUAUCUAAAUUUCAUGACUUUGGAAACUGUACAUAUACUUCAAUUUUCUGAAUGACUUCUAGAUGGAUCACUUCCGGAUGUUAAUGUUCAAAUGGCAACCCCCUCCUCCAGGUCAUAUGCCAGAAGUCUUUUGCUUAAGCUUUCAGAAAACGUCCUAUAGUUUAUCAUUUCUUUUGACAGGCAGGCCAUUGAUAAGAUUGGAAGGGUUUUGGUUAUCUUGAGAGACGUGUUCUCUCUAUACAGGGUAUGUCUUUAAAUGAUGCAAAAAAAGGCCCAAGUUUGGCUCCAGUCAUUUUGUAAUAUUGUGUACAGCUUGGAUAGGAAGUGUGCUAAUGUGUUUUUUUUUAAAGAAAAGGGUUUUGUAUAGUUUUUACAUGUUUAAACUGGGCAGGGAGGGAGGUGGGGGGAAAUGCAGGUAGUUUAGAAUUUGCUCUCCAAAAGAUGAUAUUUCCCUCUUUCUCCCGCCCUGAAUUCUGUAUGUAGCUAUGUUUCCCCAUGCUGUGAAGUUGGUACCAUUUAUAUGUAAUUCUCUGCUGCUUUCACCAGUUGUAAUGAAUUUAUAUUUUUUUGGAUUUAAAGGAAAACGUGGAAAAAAACAUUGUCCAUUGUAGAAAAGUCAAAUUAUAAAUCAUUUUGCUACCUUUUUGUGCUUUUUUUUUGAAUAAAACCUUUUUUGAAUAAA
Molecule: long non-coding RNA, 4019 nt
Organism: Rhincodon typus (whale shark)
Lineage: Eukaryota; Metazoa; Chordata; Chondrichthyes; Orectolobiformes; Rhincodontidae
Exons: 2
Source: RefSeq, a predicted model, not a curated record